This 421-nucleotide ribosomal RNA is filed under the name uncultured Bryobacter sp. Its description in RNAcentral is "bacterial SSU rRNA". It matches the Rfam family "Bacterial small subunit ribosomal RNA", at positions 980 to 1402 of the family's 1533-position model. Lineage: Bacteria; Pseudomonadati; Acidobacteriota; Terriglobia; Bryobacterales; Bryobacteraceae. The record is from RNAcentral.
CUCGAACGGCGGACGACGUCUCUUAGAAAUAGGAGAGUUUCCUUCGGGAACGGCCGUCGAGGUGCUGCAUGGCUGUCGUCAGCUCGUGUCGUGAGAUGUUGGGUUAAGUCCCGCAACGAGCGCAACCCUUGUCCUGUGUUGCUAAUCUUCGGAUGCACUCUCAGGAGACCGCCAGCGACAAGCUGGAGGAAGGUGGGGAUGAUGUCAAGUCAGCAUGGCCUUUAUGUCCAGGGCUACACACGUGCUACAAUGGGCAGGACAGACCGUUGCAAACCCGCGAGGGGAGCUAAUCGGAGAAACCUGUUCUCAGUUCGGAUUGCAGGCUGCAACUCGCCUGCAUGAAGCUGGAAUCGCUAGUAAUGGCAGAUCAGCAUGCUGCCGUGAAUACGUUCCCGGGCCUUGUACACACCGCCCGUCACAU